CGGCAACUGUGCGGAGUUGAAGUGAACGUGAGCGUCGAUACCACCCGCGGUCGCGAUCAGUCCCUCCGCGGAGAUAACCUCGGUGUUCGCGCUGACGAUCAACUCGUCGUCGACAUCGUUCAUCGUCUCUGGAUUGCCGGCGUUACCAACGCCCGCGAUGUAGCCGUCUUUGAUGCCGAUGUCGGCUUUCUGAAUUCCGAGGACUGGAUCGAGAAUGGUCAGGUUCGUCAGCACCCAGUCAAGCGCACCCUCCUCGGCCGUAAAUCCCGGCUUGAGUCCG
Molecule: small RNA, 280 nt
Filed under: Natronolimnobius baerhuensis
Lineage: Archaea; Methanobacteriati; Methanobacteriota; Halobacteria; Halobacteriales; Natrialbaceae
Description: 5' ureB small RNA
Rfam family: 5' ureB small RNA
Source: Rfam by way of RNAcentral